RNAcentral lists this ribosomal RNA (393 nucleotides) under uncultured bacterium. Its description in RNAcentral is "partial 16S ribosomal RNA". It matches the Rfam family "Bacterial small subunit ribosomal RNA", at positions 523 to 918 of the family's 1533-position model. The record is from RNAcentral.
AUACGGAGGAUGCGAGCGUUAUCCGGAUUUAUUGGGUUUAAAGGGAGCGUAGGUGGGAUAUUAAGUCAGCUGUGAAAGUUUGGGGCUCAACCUUAAAAUUGCAGUUGAUACUGGUUUCCUUGAGUACGGUACAGGUGGGCGGAAUUCGUGGUGUGGCGGUUGAAUGCUUAGAUAUCACGAAGAACUCCGAUCGCGAAGGCAGCUCACCGGGCCGGAACUGACACUGAUGCUCGAAAGUGCGGGUAUCAAACAGGAUUAGAUACCCUGGUAGUCCGCACAGUAAACGAUGAAUACUCGCUGUUUGCGAUUCACUGUAAGCGGCCAAGCGGAAGCGUUAAGUAUUCCACCUGGGGAGUACGCCGGCAACGGUGAAACUCAAAUGAAUUGACGGGG